RNAcentral lists this ribosomal RNA (467 nucleotides) under uncultured bacterium. RNAcentral's name for it is "partial 16S ribosomal RNA". It matches the Rfam family "Bacterial small subunit ribosomal RNA", at positions 29 to 507 of the family's 1533-position model. The record is from RNAcentral.
ACAAACGCUGGCGGCGUGCUUAACCCAUGCCAGUCGAACGGAAAGGCCCUGCUUUUGUGGGGUGCUCGAGUGGCGAACGGGUGAGUAACACGUGAGUAACCUGCCCUUGACUUUGGGAUAACUUCAGGAAACUGGGGCUAAUACCGGAUAGGAGCUCCUGCUGCAUGGUGGGGGUUGGAAAGUUUCGGCGGUUGGGGAUGGACUCGCGGCUUAUCAGCUUGUUGGUGGGGUAGUGGCUUACCAAGGCUUUGACGGGUAGCCGGCCUGAGAGGGUGACCGGCCACAUUGGGACUGAGAUACGGCCCAGACUCCUACGGGAGGCAGCAGUGGGGAAUAUUGCACAAUGGGCGGAAGCCUGAUGCAGCAACGCCGCGUGCGGGAUGACGGCCUUCGGGUUGUAAACCGCUUUCGCCUGUGACGAAGCGUGAGUGACGGUAAUGGGUAAAGAAGCACCGGCUAACUACGUG